UUGGAACACAUGAGAUCUGACUGGACCGAGAUUUGAUAUGGAUAUCGAAUAAUGGGCCUCAUUAAUUCUCAGCACAUGGGCUGCAAAUGACAUAUCAAAAGUUGAACCCAACUUCACGUGACAUGAUUGAUAUUUGAUUUAUGCAACAUGGGAUUAGGUGGGCUGCACAUGGGCUGAUAUACAUAGACCUUAAGAAUUGUUCAUGGAUGGGGCCGGCUUGCAUUGCUGACAGGUAUUCUCGUGGCCCAAUCAACUAUGUUGUUUGUCGGCUUAACAAUAACAACUGGACAAGAUAUCGGCCCAAUAAAAUGAACCAACAAUCCCUGUUGUCGGCUAAGAUUGUCACAUGGUAUAUAAACAUGGGAUUAGGUGGGCUGCACAUGGGCUGAUAUACAUAGACCUUAAGAAUUGUUCAUGGAUGGGGCCGGCUUGCAUUGCUGACAGGUAUUCUCGUGGCCCAAUCAACUAUGUUGUUUGUCGGCUUAACAAUAACAACUGGACAAGAUAUCGGCCCAAUAAAAUGAACCAACAAUCCCUGUUGUCGGCUAAGAUUGUCACAUGGUAUAUUAGUAUCUCAUCCUUAAUAUUCAGCGGCCAUAUGAUUCUUUAAUUGAUUAUAGUUGUCAACCCACUACCAUUUACGGUCCAAUAGGAAUUAAGCAAUACAAAAGUUGUCCGCCGUUUAUAAAAGUUGAAUUGGCCCAACUAUUCACAAACAACACUAUAUCAUGACAGUUCAACAGUCCAUCAAGUAUGCGUCAAUUACAACACAAACAAUUAUAAGUAAGGUGUUAAGGGAGGAUCUUGAAGACCCGGGUUGUCACAAUAACUCCCGGUAUCCAAUAAGUUAACUAGGAAUAAUAAUAACCUAGUUAGAAGAGAAGUCUUGUAGUGACAUACUAGUGGGUUAAAAACCUUAUAACUAGGAAAAUAUAAAACUUUAUAUUAAAAUUAUAAAGUUUUAAAUAAACAAGGACAAACUAACUAGGACAAAUUAACCCAGUUAGUCUUGAGACUUGUAAAUUACUUACUAGAAGGUUAAAACACCUUAAAUAAAUAACUUAAUGAUAAUGGAGGGACUAAAGGUGUUAAAACUAAAACUAAUAAUAAUAAAAACAAGGUUUAAACACCAAACACAAUAAAAGAAGUGUGUCUGGUCGAUCUAAACAUCAGGAGCGAACAGGAGCUUCCCCACCAAACCCUAACUUGUGCAAAUUGAUCAAAUUGGGGCUUCAAAUCAGUUCCAAAUCGAUUUCCAAGCACGAAAUUGUCAUCUCCAUUGAAAGGGGAGUCAUAAGGUAUGUAAAUUUUAUGAAAAAUCUCUAGUUGGAUUUCUAGGUAAACUUAGAAAUCUGAAAUUGAUGGUUGCAUGUUCGUUAUAUGAUGAAAUUAGGAAUGAUUUUAUGUCUUGGAGUAAACCCUAGUCAUUUACUUGUUGAAUUGAUGUUCCUAAUUGUGAAUUCAUGAUCACCCGAUUAUGUGCUAAAUGGGUUUUGUAGAAACAUGAUGAACACUAGAAUCAUAAUGGUUAAAUUGUGUUAAUAGAACUCCCUGAAGUUAGAUUUGAAGUUUGAUGUUAGUACUUGUUAAUUUUGCUAGAAUUUAAGGGUUUAGAACACUUAAAUGGGCUGGAGAAAUUUGAUGUUUCGUGUUGCACACAAGGUGCUUGUUAAAAUGCUUGAACAAGAAAAUAUAACAAAGCUGAUUGGAAUAAAAAUUAUUGGGCUGCAGUUUUAAAAAAAAUCAUAUAAAAUUACUGGAACGGCCUGUGAGGUUGAGCCUUAUAUGCUCAGAAAGCUAUUAAAACAUACUACGUUUAAUGUUUGAACAUGUUUGUUAAAUUCUGAUGUUAAAUGGGUCAAAACAGUGUCCGAAGUAGGCUGAACUGUUUUGACAGCAAGCUGAUUGGAAAAAAAAAUUGUUGGGCUGCAGUUUUUAAAAAAUCAUAUAAAAUCACUGGAACAUCCUGUGAGGUUGAGCCUUAUAUGCUCAGAAAGCUAUUAAAACAUACUACGUUUUAUGUUUGAACAUGUUUGUUAAAUUCUGAUGUUAAACGGGUCAAAACAGUGUCCGAAGUCGGCUGAACUGUUUUGACAGCAAGCUGAUUGGAAGCAUUUUGACUUCUGAGCUGAUUUUUGCGAAAAUCAUAAUUAAUUAUAGGAAGCUCGGAUUGAGCUGAUUCUUUUUGGGUUGGAAAGAUAUUUUAGUAUUCUACAUUUCAUCUUUGAUCACCAAGGGCUGAAUAAAACCGUAAAGUGGUUAAAAGAGUCGAUUCCGCAGCUACAUUGUAAAGUUGCUACACAUUUUAUUGAUAAACUUAAUCUAAGAAAAUUGUAUACAAGAAAAGGAUGAAUUGUGAGAAAUGUGAUAAUGAUGGCAUUCUAAUAAAUUAACUUGAGGUAAUGUGUCUAACGUGGAAAUAUAAUUUGAUUGUAAGACUUGGUAAGAGUUAUGUCGUAGUAGCUUUUAUUCCAUACUUGAAUGGUGUGUUGUGUACCAUGUAUUUGCUUCAAACAAAUUUUAUGAAAUUGGGUGUAUUAAAGGCAUCUAAAAUACAUACAAAUGAUUUAUGCAAGUAAUAUGUACGUGUAUGCCAAACAUGUUCUAAGUUAGUGCUCAGUCACAUACACAAGGACAGUUUGACUUACGAAAGUCAAACUGGCCUAAAACUAAUGUCUUGAUAAAUGAGUAUGUGUGAAUCCAUGAGAUGUUGUGGUCAUUUUAUAUAAUGACUAAUCUAACAAAUCUUGUGGGUAUUGUGUUAAGUUUGAUCUCGUCAAACUAAGUGGGAGCUGGAAAGGAAUGGAUCAAACGGGUCAAGUGCGCAAGAAAAGCUCGAACGGACGCAAACUGUACAUUUUGGAUGUCGGAAGACGAUUAAGCUCAACGAAGAACCGAACACGAAUAAGAUAAAAGCUUCCGCACGUCGUUUUGUCGUAACUUUUAAACGACGAACUCAAUUAUGUUAUGUUGUAUUAUUUUAAAAUUGUAAAGUUUAAACAAACCCGUAUUUUUACAAAGUAUAUGUAGUCAUAAUUACAUGUUGUU
RNAcentral lists this long non-coding RNA (3048 nucleotides) under Helianthus annuus (common sunflower). RNAcentral describes it as "hypothetical non coding rna". Lineage: Eukaryota; Viridiplantae; Streptophyta; Magnoliopsida; Asterales; Asteraceae. The record is from RNAcentral.